CUCUCUUUCUAUGAAAUCCGAAUUGUAUCUUUAAACCUCUAGCGAUACAGGGAAGGAUCUGAAGAUAAGGAAGUGGCAUGAUCAGCUGUGGAAGCCGAACCACGUGUGAGGCCCCGAGCCACAGCAUCCUUCCGGCUCUGGAAACCCAAGUGAAGCACCCUGAGGCCUUCGACUUUGAUGCUUACUGUGAAAAAAGAAAGGAAGGGAGCCUCUGAAAAGAGAUCUUGCAAGACUUUUAAGCAAAUGUCCUCGGAUGCACUCUGCCUAAGCUCAGAAGACACCAAAAAGCACAGCGUCAUCGCGUCCUCCCGCAUCCUCAUCUCCCUCGCUCCCAGACCCAGCCAGGUUGUCCGUGGCCUUAAAUGCUGGUUCUCCCUAUUACUGGGCUGCUGCGUUGAAAGCAAAAAACAAACAGAAGUCCCAAAGUUCCACCGUGGUGGUUACCUCCUCCCCGCCGCAAGUAUUUACUCACUUAACCUUAAGUAUGUACUCACUUAAAUCCUGUUCUCUUUAAUCCAGGAGGAACCGGACAAAUUUUUUCGGGUGCUAGGUAGUUUUUGGCUUAGAAGGAGGUAGGUCUCACCGAUACUCCCUAAAUGCUGAAAUAAAAACAGAUCCCAUUUGCCA
Bos indicus x Bos taurus (hybrid cattle) is the source of this 627-nucleotide long non-coding RNA. The record is from Ensembl. Lineage: Eukaryota; Metazoa; Chordata; Mammalia; Artiodactyla; Bovidae.